UCUUCCAGCAUCAUCCAAUUUUAAAAAAUUAAGAGUAAAUAUUGUAAGGGAUAGAGCCAUCUUUGGCGUCAUAGCCUCUAUUCCCCCUUUCUGUUUUUGCAAAUAUUGUUUCAGAGUGCGAUGGGCUCUCUCAAUUAUGCCUUGGCCCUGUGGAUUAUAGGGCAAUCCAGUAAUAUGUUUUACUUGCAUUUGUUUGCAAAAUUGGCUAAAUUUAGAAGAAGUAUAUGCAGGACCAUUAUCUGUCUUUAACACUAGGGGCUUGCCCCAUGCAGCCCAAGCCUCUAAGCAGUGAGAUAUGACAUGAACUGCUUUUUCCCCUGUCAAGGGAGAGGCAUGUAGGACACCAGAACUGGUAUCGAUGGAUACAUGUACAUAUUGUAAUUUCCCAAAAGAUGGGAUAUGCGUUACGUCCAUUUGCCAAACAUCUAGGGGUCGCAAUCCGCGAGGAUUAACACCCACGGAAGGUGCAUUAACAAAUUCUACACAUUUACCACACCGUAGGACAAUAUCUCGGGCUUCUUUUCUUGUGAGCUUAAACUUUUGUCGUAAUGUAGAAGCAGGGACAUGAUAAAGUUGAUGAAAAUUUUUUGCACUUUCUAUAGAACUUUGUAAUAGAAAAACCAUGUCUCUGGUGGCUGAGUCAGCAAUGGCAUUUCCCUUAACCAUAGGUCCAGGUAAUGAUGUAUGUGCUCUAAUAUGUUUAAUAUAAAAGGGAUGCUCACGCAUCAAAAUACAAUUUUGUAUUUUCAUCAAAAUUUCAGAUACAGGACUGGACUGUUUAAAAUUUCCGGCAGUCUCUAAUGCUAGAACCGCAUUAACUACAUAAACAGAAUCAGAGACAAUAUUUAUGGGCAUAGGAAAUCUUUUAAAGACUUCUAAAACCACCAAACAUUCUACCAAUUGAGGGGCUCCUGGUGUAAAUUGCAACCUUACAGCCUUUUCAUUGAUUACAUAACUUCCAACUCCUGUUUUGGAUCCAUCUGUAUAAAUAUCAAUGGCUCCCUUUAUAGGGGUAUUAGCCGUUACCUUUGGAAAUAUUACUGGAUGCAAUAACAUAAAAUGUAAUAACGGAUGUUUAGGAUAAUGAUUAUCAAUUAAACCAGAAUAACUGCAUCUAAGAAUGGCCCAUUCAUCUAUAGUAGCACACAAUAUUUGCAUUUGUGCGACAGUAUACGGGACAAUUAUGCUAUCAGGCAUUUUUCCAAAGUGAGUGAUUGAAGUUUUUAUCCCUUUGUGGGCCAUAUUUGCUACCAUGGUGGGAUAAUGCUCUAUAGUUUUAUUAGGGGAUAUAUGUGGAUGUAUCCAUACUAAAGGACCAUUUUGCCAUAACACAGCAGUUGGCAGAUUGAUGGUGCGUAAUAUGCAUAGGCACAAAGGUUCUUGCUCAUUUAUACGAGUUAACUGUGCUGUUUGGAUCGCCUUUUCCACUUUCCUAAGAACAUCAGAAGCCUCAGGUGUUAAUUGUCUCAAUGAGGUAAUAUGUGAGUCUCCUUCUAAAAUUUGAAAUAAAGGUUUUAAUUCCGAAGUAGGGAUCCUUAAAUAAGGUCUAAUCCAAUUUAUAUCUCCUAAUAAUUUUUGAAAAUCAUUUAGUGUCUUUAGAUGGUCUUUUCUAAUACUAAUCUUUUGUGGGGUGACACAUCGUAAAGUAAUAGUGGCUCCUAGAAAAUGACUAACAUUAGACUGCUGUACCUUUUCUGGUGCAAUACUCAAACCAUUAUUUUUUAAAGUUUCAUUAAGCAAGCCAUAAGCUUGCUGUAUACUUUCUUCUUCAGGUCCACAGAUUACAAUGUCAUCCAUAUAGUGACAAAUUUUUAAGGAGGGGAAACCAUCCCUAACCGGUUGUAAAGCUUUUCCUACAUAUAACUGACAUAUGGUAGGGCUAUUUGCCAUUCCUUGGGGUAAUACCCGCCAUUGGUACCUUUUAUCAGGUUCCAUAUGAUUAAUAGAAGGCAAGGUGAAUGCAAAUCUAGGUUUAUCUUUCUUAUUUAAUGGAAUUGAAAAGAAACAAUCCUUAAUAUCUACUACUAUAAUUCUCCAAUCCUUAGGUAGAGCUGAGAGUAGGGGGAGCCCUCUUUGUACAGGACCCAUAACUUGCAUUUGUGCAUUAAUGGCUCUUAGGUCAUGUAACAAUCUCCAUUUACCUGACUUUUUCUUUACAACAAAAAUGGGGGUAUUCCAGGGUGAUUGAGUGGGCUCCACAUGUCCCAGAUCUAAUUGUUCUUGUACUAAUUCUUUAGCUGCUUUUAACUUCUCAGAGGGUAAAGGCCAUUGAGGCACCUACACCAUGUCCUCCGUAUGCUACGGGAUGGGCAAAGGCUCUUCAGUGGCCCCUAGAAAAAACCCAGCCCUUUCUUGUCUGCCUUUACAGUGGCUUUAACUGGUAAAAUUCUACCUUGCAAAAUUUUUCCAAGACCUAGUCCAGGUAUAUAUCCCAUUCCUUUCAUCAUUUCCUUGCUUUUCUGAGAGUAAUCAUUAGUCAAUAUAAAGUUCAUAGCUGAUAACACAUCUCUCCCCCACAAGUUUACAGGCAAAGGGAGUACGUAUGGUUGAAAAAGCCCUGUCCUUCCUUCUUUAUCUUUCCAUUGUAAGGAUUUUGCACUUAUAGUUGGGGUAGCCUCAUAUCCUAAUCCUUGUAAGCUAUGUGAUGAUUGAUUAACAGGCCAAGAAGCAGGCCACCACUUACUAGAUAUAAUGCUUUUAUCUGCUCCUGUAUCCAUUAUACCUUGAAAGGUUUUUCCUUCUAUUUGUAAAGAUAUGUACUUUAUUUUCAAACAUACUCUUUCUACCCUUUGUACACUGCUUUUGCAUAUUACCUGUUUUCUUAUGUUGUUUAGAAUAACUCCAACCUUGGGUUUCCAAUUUUAAGCUAACUUUCUGUUACAAGCAAAAGGCUGCCUGCCCCUUUAAAAGCUCCAUUUGCAAUCAGCCUUCAGCAGGGCUUUUUCAGCUGUACUUGACUCCCAGCCACUGUGCAGCUAACUUGUCAUUUUUUGCUGUGCAGACUGAGACUGCUUUUUUAUUUUUCAACAUGAAACACAGAACAACAAUCAUUCAAUCAUCCAAGCAAAAACAAACACGAGUUGACAGACAUAUAGACAAUUUGGUGCACCAAAAAACAGAAAAUAGAACACAGAUAUCCUAUUCGAAGCUAAAAAUAUUUCCAUAGGAGCCAGAGAGGAAGCAGGACGUCUCCCGUUUUCCGUCUGUCCCUAGGAGGGCUCUGAAAUAGCUUAUUUUCAUUUUUUUUUUCUUCUAGGAAUUCUGCACAGUGGCUGCUUCUAAUAGUUGCUCCUCUUUCCCUGAGAGCUAUCUUUAAGCCUUUGAUGAAGGCUGCCUCUUUAGUCAAAGUCCUCGAGAGGAGGGUAAAUUGACUUAAUUUUUUGUUCUUCAUUUUUUAUAUUAUCCUUUAUAUCUUUAUAUUAUCCUUUGUAUCUUUACAUUUUAUAUUAUCCUUUGUGUCUUUAUAUUUUAGCUUCCUUUCUUUUUUUCUUUUUAUAUUUCUUAAGUUACUUAUUUUUCUGCGCGCGUCUUCUUUUUCCUUUCUCUCUGUUUCUGAUAUGCCUUCCUGGUACUCCUACAAAGUCGCUGCCCUUCCUUAACAGCUGGUCCCACACAAACCCAGCAACAAUUACCAGACCCACUGCGUAAGAAAGCAUACCUCUCAGAGACUUACCUUAAUUUCUUUAUACUUACUGGUACCACCGUUCCUCAGCUGAAGAGUUCUGAAUCCACGCAGUUGAAUCCUUCUCAGCAGUCUGUUUUGCAGGAACCUUUAUUAACACCGCUCCCCAGCUGAAGAGUUCUGAAUCCACGCCGGAUCCUUCUCAGCAGUCUGUUUUACGGGAACCUUUAUUAACCGCUCCUUCCCCGCGAUGCAGUUCUGAAUCCUCCCUGUAGUAGGGGGUCUUCGCUCGUGCCUGAAGAUGUUUCUUGUCCCGGGUUUCGGCACCACUUCUUGCGCGCGCUCGACUCGACCAGCAAGAACUACGCUGCAACAGGAUCCUUCUGCACACGUUUAUUGGGAGAGCUUGAUUGCAGAGGCGAAAAGACUUUUUGCCCAGAGCUGGUGCUGCUUUUAUAGGCCUAGGAGAGGCGUGUCUCAUACCCUGAUUGGUUAUGCACUAAGCCUCAUUUGCAUGUUCCUCAUCUGAUUGGCUGCUCUCUCUCAGUACCUCACUGAGCCUCAUUAUCAUACCUCAUUUGCAUGUCUCACAUCCGAUUGGUUAUACUCUCAGUACCUUACAGAACCUCAUUAUCAUGCCUGGGCCAGGCAGUGUUUUUGCAAAAAACUUUACUGCAUAUGUACACAUUGGCUGUUUGUCCAAUCUUAUGCAUGGUGGCCAGCAGUAGUCAGUGCCACUCAGCAACGGCACAUGUGGCUUCCCACACCAGAAGUCAUAAAGAUACCAAAAGAAAAACAGAUACCAUAGUUCAAAGAAAAGCACAGAAUGCUUGCUUUCUUUGCUUGCUGAAUGAAUGCCAUCCGAGAAGAAACAGGUAGUCAAGCUGAAGACAAAUUGCAGUGACUUGUAGUGGACUAGGAGAGAAAAUCUUUUCAUGAAUACAAACUGAAGAGCCUCAAGGAGAAAGUGAAAGAGACACAUAAAAAAGAACUAGAGGGAUGGAGAGAUGGCUCUGUGCUUAAGAGCACUGGCUGCUUCUCAGAGGACCCAAGGUAAAAUCAGUUCCUAGCACCCACACAGUGUGACUCACAACUACCUGUGACUUCUGCUUCUAGAUCUCGCACCCUCUUCUGGCCUCCAAAGGCACCUGUAUUCAUGUACACAUACACAUAAAUAAAAUAUAAAUCUUAAAAAAAAUUCAAAGCCAGGUGUUAUGGUGCACUCCCAGAACUUGGGAGGCAGAGGCAGGCAGAUCUCUGUGAGUUCAAGGUCAGUCUGGUCUAUAUAGUGAGUUCCAGGACAGCCAGAGCUACGUAGUGAGACCCUGUUUUGGGGAAGG
RNAcentral lists this long non-coding RNA (4962 nucleotides) under Mus musculus (house mouse). RNAcentral describes it as "long non-coding RNA chr6:47850782-47855744". Lineage: Eukaryota; Metazoa; Chordata; Mammalia; Rodentia; Muridae. The record is from RNAcentral.